UGGGGAAUUUUGGACAAUGGGCGAAAGCCUGAUCCAGCAAUGCCGCGUGUGUGAAGAAGGCCUUCGGGUUGUAAAGCACUUUUGUCCGGAAAGAAAUCCUUGGCUCUAAUACAGUCGGGGGAUGACGGUACCGGAAGAAUAAGCACCGGCUAACUACGUGCCAGCAGCCGCGGUAAUACGUAGGGUGCAAGCGUUAAUCGGAAUUACUGGGCGUAAAGCGUGCGCAGGCGGUUUGCUAAGACCGAUGUGAAAUCCCCGGGCUCAACCUGGGAACUGCAUUGGUGACUGGCAGGCUAGAGUAUGGCAGAGGGGGGUAGAAUUCCACGUGUAGCAGUGAAAUGCGUAGAGAUGUGGAGGAAUACCGAUGGCGAAGGCAGCCCCCUGGGCCAAUACUGACGCUCAUGCACGAAAGCGUGGGGAGCAAAACAGGAUUAGAUACCCUGGUAGUCCACGCCCUAAAACGAUGUCAACUAGUUGUUGGGGAUUCAUUUCCUUAGUAACGUAGCUAACGCGUGAAGUUGACCGCCUGGGGAGUACGGUCGCAAGAUUAAAACUU
This 556-nucleotide ribosomal RNA is filed under the name uncultured bacterium. RNAcentral describes it as "partial 16S ribosomal RNA". It matches the Rfam family "Bacterial small subunit ribosomal RNA", at positions 355 to 902 of the family's 1533-position model. The record is from RNAcentral.